AGAGUUUAUCAUGGCUCAGGAUGAACGCUGGCGGCGUGCUUAACACAUGCAAGUCGAACGAUGAAGCCCAGCUUGCUGGGUGGAUUAGUGGCGAACGGGUGAGUAACACGUGAGUAACCUGCCCUUAACUCUGGGAUAAGCCUGGGAAACUGGGUCUAAUACCGGAUAGGAGCGUCCACCGCAUGGUGGGUGUUGGAAAGAUUUAUCGGUUUUGGAUGGACUCGCGGCCUAUCAGCUUGUUGGUGAGGUAAUGGCUCACCAAGGCGACGACGGGUAGCCGGCCUGAGAGGGUGACCGGCCACACUGGGACUGAGACACGGCCCAGACUCCUACGGGAGGCAGCAGUGGGGAAUAUUGCACAAUGGGCGAAAGCCUGAUGCAGCGACGCCGCGUGAGGGAUGACGGCCUUCGGGUUGUAAACCUCUUUCAGUAGGGAAGAAGCGAAAGUGACGGUACCUGCAGAAGAAGCACCGGCUAACUACGUGCCAGCAGCCGCGGUAAUACGUAGGGUGCGAGCGUUAUCCGGAAUUAUUGGGCGUAAAGAGCUCGUAGGCGGUUUGUCGCGUCUGUCGUGAAAGUCCGGGGCUUAACCCCGGAUCUGCGGUGGGUACGGGCAGACUAGAGUGCAGUAGGGGAGACUGGAAUUCCUGGUGUAGCGGUGGAAUGCGCAGAUAUCAGGAGGAACACCGAUGGCGAAGGCAGGUCUCUGGGCUGUAACUGACGCUGAGGAGCGAAAGCAUGGGGAGCGAACAGGAUUAGAUACCCUGGUAGUCCAUGCCGUAAACGUUGGGCACUAGGUGUGGGGACCAUUCCACGGUUUCCGCGCCGCAGCUAACGCAUUAAGUGCCCCGCCUGGGGAGUACGGCCGCAAGGCUAAAACUCAAAGGAAUUGACGGGGGCCCGCACAAGCGGCGGAGCAUGCGGAUUAAUUCGAUGCAACGCGAAGAACCUUACCAAGGCUUGACAUGUUCUCGAUCGCCGUAGAGAUACGGUUUCCCCUUUGGGGCGGGUUCACAGGUGGUGCAUGGUUGUCGUCAGCUCGUGUCGUGAGAUGUUGGGUUAAGUCCCGCAACGAGCGCAACCCUCGUUCCAUGUUGCCAGCACGUAAUGGUGGGGACUCAUGGGAAGACUGCCGGGGUCAACUCGGA
This 1148-nucleotide ribosomal RNA is filed under the name Micrococcus sp. 98TH11321. RNAcentral's name for it is "bacterial SSU rRNA". It matches the Rfam family "Bacterial small subunit ribosomal RNA", at positions 8 to 1167 of the family's 1533-position model. The record is from RNAcentral. Lineage: Bacteria; Bacillati; Actinomycetota; Actinomycetes; Micrococcales; Micrococcaceae.